This 484-nucleotide ribosomal RNA is filed under the name uncultured bacterium. RNAcentral describes it as "partial 16S ribosomal RNA". It matches the Rfam family "Bacterial small subunit ribosomal RNA", at positions 30 to 507 of the family's 1533-position model. The record is from RNAcentral.
AUUGAACGCUGGCGGCAGGCCUAACACAUGCAAGUCGAGCGGAUGAAGGGAGCUUGCUCCUGGAUUCAGCGGCGGACGGGUGAGUAAUGCCUAGGAAUCUGCCUGGUAGUGGGGGAUAACGUCCGGAAACGGGCGCUAAUACCGCAUACGUCCUGAGGGAGAAAGUGGGGGAUCUUCGGACCUCACGCUAUCAGAUGAGCCUAGGUCGGAUUAGCUAGUUGGUGGGGUAAAGGCCUACCAAGGCGACGAUCCGUAACUGGUCUGAGAGGAUGAUCAGUCACGCUGGAACUGAGACACGGUCCAGACUCCUACGGGAGGCAGCAGUGGGGAAUAUUGGACAAUGGGCGAAAGCCUGAUCCAGCCAUGCCGCGUGUGUGAAGAAGGUCUUCGGAUUGUAAAGCACUUUAAGUUAGGAGGAAGGGCAGUAAGUUAAUACCUUGCUGUUUUGACGUUACCAACAGAAUAAGCACCGGCUAACUUCGUG